GAUGAACGCUAGCUACAGGCUUAACACAUGCAAGUCGAGGGGUAGCGGGGUAGCAAUACUGUCGACGACCGGCGCACGGGUGAGUAACGCGUAUCCAACCUGCCCCCAACUAGGGAAUAACCUUGCGAAAGUAAGACUAAUACCCUAUAAUUUCCUCAGAUGACAUCUGACGAGGAAUAAAGAUUUAUCGGUUGUGGAUGGGGAUGCGUCUGAUUAGCUUGUUGGCGGGGUAACGGCCCACCAAGGCAACGAUCAGUAGGGGUUCUGAGAGGAAGGUCCCCCACAUUGGAACUGAGACACGGUCCAAACUCCUACGGGAGGCAGCAGUGAGGAAUAUUGGUCAAUGGGCGGAAGCCUGAACCAGCCAAGUAGCGUGCAGGAUGACGGCCCUAUGGGUUGUAAACUGCUUUUAUACAGGAAUAAAGUUAGCCACGUGUGGUUAUUUGUAGGUACUGUAUGAAUAAGGACCGGCUAAUUCCGUGCCAGCCGCCGCGGUAA
Molecule: ribosomal RNA, 498 nt
Filed under: uncultured bacterium
Lineage: Bacteria
Description: partial 16S ribosomal RNA
Rfam family: Bacterial small subunit ribosomal RNA
Source: RNAcentral